Molecule: ribosomal RNA, 467 nt
Filed under: uncultured bacterium
Lineage: Bacteria
Description: partial 16S ribosomal RNA
Rfam family: Bacterial small subunit ribosomal RNA
Source: RNAcentral
GACGAACGCUGGCGGCGUGCUUAACACAUGCAAGUCGAACGGAAAGGCCCUGCUUUUGUGGGGCGCUCGAGUGGCGAACGGGUGAGUAACACGUGAGUAACCUGCCCUUGACUUUGGGAUAACUUCAGGAAACUGGGGCUAAUACCGGAUAGGAGCUCCUGCUGCAUGGUGGGGGUUGGAAAGUUUCGGCGGUUGGGGAUGGACUCGCGGCUUAUCAGCUUGUUGGUGGGGUAGUGGCUUACCAAGGCUUUGACGGGUAGCCGGCCUGAGAGGGUGACCGGCCACAUUGGGACGGAGAUACGGCCCAGACUCCUACGGGAGGCAGCAGUGGGGAAUAUUGCACAAGGGGCGGAAGCCUGAUGCAGCAACGCCGCGUGCGGGAUGACGGCCUUCGGGUUGUAAACCGCUUUCGCCUGUGACGAAGCGUGAGUGACGGUAAUGGGUAAAGAAGCACCGGCUAACUACGU